This 447-nucleotide long non-coding RNA is filed under the name Brassica napus (rape). RNAcentral's name for it is "long non-coding RNA (BNAP_LNC014097)". The record is from RNAcentral. Lineage: Eukaryota; Viridiplantae; Streptophyta; Magnoliopsida; Brassicales; Brassicaceae.
UGUAGAUAGUGUGUGGAAGGGUAUGCGUUCCUAAACGGUGAAGAAAGGAUAAUGAAAGGUUGCAGCGAAGGUGGAAGACGUUGGUGAGUUGCUGGUUUUGCUUGAAUGGGUUCAUAAAGGAUAUUGGGCCUAAUUGUGUCGUGAGCAAGUACAUAGAUGUCAUUUGGUCUUUUAGAAUGAUGUUUGUAGUCCACGAAAAAUGUUAGUAAAAUUGAUGAUGACAUGUCAGUUUCAUUGUCUAGCAAUAUUUUAUCUUACGUGGAUAGCUUUAGAAAUCUUCAAUUUAGUCCCUUUUAUAUAGCGGAUAUUGUACUAGCAUCAAUAUAAAUAUAUACAAUUUGGAUGUCCAAGAUACAAAAUAUUAUGUUUAACCGAUGCAAAUACAAGUACAACCAUAUUUAGGUCAAUGAAUGGAUUUUAAAGUACUAAAAAUAGCUUUAUUGGAUG